UACGUAGGGUCCGAGCGUUGUCCGGAGUUACUGGGCGUAAAGCGCGCGCAGGCGGCGGUGCUGGCCCGGCGUGAAAGCCCCCGGCUCAACCGGGGAGAGUCGUCGGGGACCGCACCGCUUGAGGGGCGGUAGGGGCUGGUGGAAUGCCUGGUGUAGUGGUGAAAUGCGUAGAGAUCAGGCAGAACACCUGGGGCGAAGGCGGCCAGCUGGGCCGUCCCUGACGCUGGAGGCGCGAAGGCGUGGGGAGCGAACGGG
RNAcentral lists this ribosomal RNA (255 nucleotides) under uncultured bacterium. RNAcentral describes it as "partial 16S ribosomal RNA". It matches the Rfam family "Bacterial small subunit ribosomal RNA", at positions 524 to 776 of the family's 1533-position model. The record is from RNAcentral.